UCCCUGGUGGCCUAGUGGUUAGGAUUCUAGGCUUUUACUUCUGUGGUCCGGGUUCAAUCCCUGGCCAGGAAA
This 72-nucleotide transfer RNA is filed under the name Bos taurus (domestic cattle). It matches the Rfam family "tRNA". Rfam says of the family: Transfer RNA (tRNA) molecules are approximately 80 nucleotides in length. Their secondary structure includes four short double-helical elements and three loops (D, anti-codon, and T loops). RNAcentral also lists the same sequence under 5 other names. The record is from Rfam by way of RNAcentral. Lineage: Eukaryota; Metazoa; Chordata; Mammalia; Artiodactyla; Bovidae.